This 476-nucleotide long non-coding RNA is filed under the name Pan troglodytes (chimpanzee). Its description in RNAcentral is "long non-coding RNA NONPTRT001933". The record is from RNAcentral. Lineage: Eukaryota; Metazoa; Chordata; Mammalia; Primates; Hominidae.
GCUGUGCGUGAUGCCGGGCUGUGCGUGAUGCCGGGUUUGUGUGUGAUGUCGGGUUUGUGUGUGAUGCCGGGCUGCGGGUGAUGCCGGGCUGUGCGUGAUGCCGGGUUUGUGUGUGAUGCCGGGCUGCGGGUGAUGCCGGGGCUGUGUGUGAUGCCGGGGCUGUGUGUGAUGCCGGGUUUGUGUGUGAUGCCGGGUUUGUGUGUGAUGUCGGGUUUGUGUGUGAUGCCGGGUUUGUGUGUGAUGCCGGGCUGUGCGUGAUGCCGGGCUGCGGGUGAUGCCGGGCUGUGGGUGAUGCCGGGCUGUGGGUGAUGCCGGGCUGUGCGUGAUGCCGGGCUGUGCGUGAUGCCGGGCUGUGCGUGAUGCCGGGCUGUGGGUGAUGCCAGUUUGUUUGUAGGUCUUUAGUUUUUUCUUUCUUUUGUGUUUAAUGGGGAAGCUUCCUGCCAAGACAGCAACCCCUCUGGGGGAAGGAGUUCAAG